UACAUGCUGACGAGUGGCGCACGGGUGCGUAACACGUAUGUAACUUACCUCUAACUGGGAAAUAGCUUCGAGAAAUCGAAAUUAAUGUCCCAUAGUAAUUAGAUCAGGCAUCUGGUUUAAUUUAAAGCUCCGGCGGUUAGAGAUAGACAUGCGUCCUAUUAGCUUGUUGGUGAGGUAACGGCUCACCAAGGCUACGAUAGGUAGGGGGCCUGAGAGGGUUUUCCCCCACACUGGAACUGAGACACGGUCCAGACUCCUACGGGAGGCAGCAGUGAGGAAUAUUGGUCAAUGGUCGCAAGACUGAACCAGCCAUGCCGCGUGCAGGAUGAAGGCCCUAUGGGUUGUAAACUGCUUUUCUCAGGGAAUAAACCCUUCUACGUGUAGAAGGCUGAAGGUACCUGAGGAAUAAGCACCGGCUAACUCCGUGCCAGCAGCCGCGGUAAUACGGAGGGUGCAAGCGUUAUCCGGAUUUAUUGGGUUUAAAGGGUGCGCAAGCGGGGCUUUAAGUCAGUGGUGAAAUCUCUUCCCUUAACGAAGAAACUGCCAUUGAUACUGAAGUUCUUGAAUCUAGUUGACGUUAGUGGAAUGUGUCAUGUAGCGGUGAAAUGCUUAAAUAUGACACAAAACACCGAUCGCGAAGGCAGCUAACGAAACUAGUAUUGA
Molecule: ribosomal RNA, 663 nt
Filed under: uncultured bacterium
Lineage: Bacteria
Description: bacterial SSU rRNA
Rfam family: Bacterial small subunit ribosomal RNA
Source: RNAcentral